This 680-nucleotide small RNA is filed under the name Pongo abelii (Sumatran orangutan). Its description in RNAcentral is "processed transcript". Lineage: Eukaryota; Metazoa; Chordata; Mammalia; Primates; Hominidae. The record is from RNAcentral.
ACCCUGACUCCAUGGAGCAGAGCUGGUCCUCCCAUCUUUGGGCUACAUGUCCCCCAAGGCUCUCUGGCACAGAGCUGGAGGGGCCAGAGGAAGUGCUGAGUCUGGGAGGAGGCUGAGGACAGGCGAUUGGAGUAAUGAGGGGAGUUAGAGAGAUGGGGAGUGUGUAAAAGCUGAGUGAAGGGCUAGGUCAGGGAAAGGUGUGCCUGGGCCAGUAAGUCUGGAGUGGGGAGCUGGAGGAACUGGGCUGCUGGGGAUGUCUGGUGUGUCAGGUGCCAGUGAGGCCUGUGGUGCUAAGAGGCCACUGUCUGCACCUUCCACCAGGGAACCGCAUCACAGAGGUGGGGCUGGAGGGCUUCCUCGCCACAGUGCAGUAUCAGAUGCAGUUCUCCAAAGCCAAGAGUGCAUCCAAGGGUCCAGUGGGGCUGCUGUGGCUGUCCCUGGCUAAAAAUUGCUUCGCCCCACAAUGUCCUGCGUAUGCCAUAAUCCAGGAGCUGAUGCUGCCAAGGGAUCCCAUCAAGGCCAAACUCAGGGAGGAUGAGGCCAUGGCAUUCUUCCCCUAGCCCUGUCCCACCUGCUUGCCUCUAAGACUCGGGGCUACAGAAGCACCUCCUGUCCCUGUGUGGGGUGACCUCCCUGGGGGAGAUCUCAGACCAAUAACAAAGUCUGUUGCUAUACUUUUC